This 220-nucleotide ribosomal RNA is filed under the name uncultured Lactobacillus sp. Its description in RNAcentral is "partial 16S ribosomal RNA". It matches the Rfam family "Bacterial small subunit ribosomal RNA", at positions 143 to 355 of the family's 1533-position model. Lineage: Bacteria; Bacillati; Bacillota; Bacilli; Lactobacillales; Lactobacillaceae. The record is from RNAcentral.
AUACCAUUUGGAAACAGAUGCUAAUACCGGAUAAAAGCUACUUUCGCAUGAAAGAAGUUUAAAAGGCGGCGUAAGCUGUCGCUAAAGUAUGGACCUGCGAUGCAUUAGCUAGUUGGUAAGGUAACGGCUUACCAAGGCGAUGAUGCAUAGCCGAGUUGAGAGACUGAUCGGCCACAUUGGGACUGAGACACGGCCCAAACUCCUACGGGAGGCAGCAGCA